RNAcentral lists this long non-coding RNA (250 nucleotides) under Sorghum bicolor (sorghum). RNAcentral's name for it is "long non-coding RNA (SBIC_LNC012836)". Lineage: Eukaryota; Viridiplantae; Streptophyta; Magnoliopsida; Poales; Poaceae. The record is from RNAcentral.
ACACAAACUGGAACAGUACUUUAAACCACUAUAACUAAACAUGUGCUUAACCAAAAAUUGUGCUAUUUAUCUUUUUGAAAAGCUUAAGAAAAGUACUACAACUCAUAUAUUUUCAUCCAGGCAUGAUUCCACAACCAAACUGAACCAAACAAUCUAAACAUGCAGACAUACUCAAAAUAGGACCAAGGCAACAUAUGGCAUUUGUUAUUUUUAUAAAUCUUAAUCUGUCAUACCUACAUUCAUGCAAAUU